GGGAUUGUGGCUCAGUGGUAGAGCACUUGCCUAGCAUGUAUGAGGCCCUGGGUUCGAUCUUCAGCACCA
Molecule: transfer RNA, 69 nt
Filed under: Ictidomys tridecemlineatus (thirteen-lined ground squirrel)
Lineage: Eukaryota; Metazoa; Chordata; Mammalia; Rodentia; Sciuridae
Description: Spermophilus tridecemlineatus (thirteen-lined ground squirrel) tRNA
Rfam family: tRNA
About the family: Transfer RNA (tRNA) molecules are approximately 80 nucleotides in length. Their secondary structure includes four short double-helical elements and three loops (D, anti-codon, and T loops).
Source: Rfam by way of RNAcentral